AACGAACGCUGGCGGCAUGCCUAACACAUGCAAGUCGAACGAGACCUUCGGGUCUAGUGGCGCACGGGUGCGUAACGCGUGGGAACCUGCCCUUAGGUUCGGAAUAACUCCCCGAAAGGGGUGCUAAUACCGGAUACUCUCUUCGGACCAAAGAUUUAUCGCCUUUGGAUGGGCCCGCGUUGGAUUAGCUAGUUGGUAGGGUAAAGGCCUACCAAGGCGACGAUCCAUAGCUGGUCUGAGAGGAUGAUCAGCCACACUGGGACUGAGACACGGCCCAGACUCCUACGGGAGGCAGCAGUGGGGAAUAUUGGACAAUGGGGGAAAGCCUGAUCCAGCAAUGCCGCGUGAGUGAUGAAGGCCUUAGGGUUGUAAAGCUCUUUUAGCCGGGAAGAUAAUGACAGUACCGGGAGAAGAAGCCCCGGCUAACUCCGUG
RNAcentral lists this ribosomal RNA (433 nucleotides) under uncultured bacterium. Its description in RNAcentral is "partial 16S ribosomal RNA". It matches the Rfam family "Bacterial small subunit ribosomal RNA", at positions 29 to 507 of the family's 1533-position model. The record is from RNAcentral.